GCCCGGCCUCGCCAUGGUCCUCUGGUAUUGCUCGCUCUAGUAGGAUAUGGCUUGUUGUUGGUCAGUAACAUAAGUAGGCUCUGUGCAAGAGCUGCGUCGUCGCCCAUUUGCGGUUUCCGAUCGAUUCAUCCGCAGUAUUAGUAUCAUAGUAUGGGAGUAACUACUAUUUUGCAAUGCCGCUGCAUUUUUCCCGUGUUUACGGGAUCUCAUUUCCAUUGCUCACUUUUGAGGUUGGAACAUGUUGUAUUGGGGAAUAAAGGUUGGUAGAUGGUCAGUUGUCUUUAUAUUACCUUAUUCUUAUGUACGGUUGAGAGUUUAUGUUACAUACACCCACUCAAGGUUUGGUUUGCUUUUGUGAUGUCUAAGCAAGCAAGUUUGGCGAUCACUCUGUCCUAGAGGCAGAAUUCUUGUUCUCGGCAUUUUCGUAGAUUUUUCCGGUGCAGGAUUCUGUUGUAUUAGUAUGGUAACCAUUUUGCAAUGCCACGGCAUUUUCCCGCGUUUAUGGGAUCUCUUUCCCAUUGCUCGCUUUUGAGAUUGGAACAUGUUGUAUUCGGAAAUAAAGGUUGAUUGAUGUCUUCAGAUUAUCUGAUUCUUAUGUAUGGUUGAGAGUUUAUGUUACAAAUAGACCCACUCAAGGUUUGGUUGCUUUUUUGAUCUCUAGACAAGCAAGUUUGGCGAUCAUUGUCCCUAGAGGCAGAUUUCUUGUUCUCGGGAUUUUCGUAGAUUUUUCCGGUGCAGGAUUCUGUAGUAUUAGUAUGGUAAGUAUUUUGCAAUGCCACCGCAUUUUCCCACGCUUACAGGAUCUCUUUUCCAUUGCUCGCUUUUGAGAUUGGAACAUGUUGUAUUGGGGAAUAAAGGUUGAUUGAUGUCUUCAGAUUACCUGAUUCUUAUGUAUGGUUGAGAGUUUAUG
This 910-nucleotide long non-coding RNA is filed under the name Triticum aestivum (bread wheat). RNAcentral describes it as "long non-coding RNA (TAES_LNC003628)". Lineage: Eukaryota; Viridiplantae; Streptophyta; Magnoliopsida; Poales; Poaceae. The record is from RNAcentral.